CACGGGGGGAGCAAGCGUUGUUCGGAAUCACUGGGCGUAAAGGGCGUGUAGGCGGUCAAGUAAGUGGCAUGUGAAACGCCUCGGCUUACCCGAGGACCUGCAUCCCAAACUGCUUGGCUUGAGUAUGGGAGAGGAUGAGGGAAUUCCUGGUGUAGCGGUGAAAUGCGUAGAUAUCAGGAGGAACACCGGUGGCGAAAGCGCUCAUCUGGCCCAAUACUGACGCUGAGGCGCGAAAGCUAGGGGAGCAAACGGG
This 253-nucleotide ribosomal RNA is filed under the name uncultured bacterium. RNAcentral describes it as "partial 16S ribosomal RNA". It matches the Rfam family "Bacterial small subunit ribosomal RNA", at positions 524 to 776 of the family's 1533-position model. The record is from RNAcentral.